Molecule: ribosomal RNA, 346 nt
Filed under: uncultured bacterium
Lineage: Bacteria
Description: bacterial SSU rRNA
Rfam family: Bacterial small subunit ribosomal RNA
Source: RNAcentral
UAUGUUAAUAGCAUAUUCAUUUGACGUUAGCUGCAGAAGAAGCACCGGCUAACUCCGUGCCAGCAGCCGCGGUAAUACGGAGGGUGCGAGCGUUAAUCGGAAUUACUAGGGCGUAAAGCGCAUGCAGGUGGUUUGUUAAGUCAGAUGUGAAAGCCCGGGGCUCAACCUCGGAAUUGCAUUUGAAACUGGCAAACUAGAGUACUGUAGAGGGGGUAGAAUUUCAGGUGUAGCGGUGAAAUGCGUAGAGAUCUGAAGGAAUACCGGUGGCGAAGGCGGCCCCCCUGGACAGAUACUGACACUCAGAUGCGAAAGCGUGGGGAGCAAACAGGAUUAGAUACCCUGGUAG